This 2701-nucleotide long non-coding RNA is filed under the name Triticum aestivum (bread wheat). RNAcentral describes it as "long non-coding RNA (TAES_LNC004619)". The record is from RNAcentral. Lineage: Eukaryota; Viridiplantae; Streptophyta; Magnoliopsida; Poales; Poaceae.
CUGCGGCUCACUACCACCUCCACCGCCACUCUCCUCCUCCCCGUUGUCUCUUCUCCCUCCUACCCCGUCUCUCGGACGCCGAAGUCAGCAAUUAUGCCGUCGGCUCCGCCGUCCCCCGAAUCCGUGAUGUCUAUGGCCUCCUUCUCUGAUAACGCAGCCAUACGCCAGAUGUAGCGGCCCUGUCGGCAAGUACGCCGCCAACACCUCCCCCAAACUCAAGUCUGCCACGCCUCUCCUGCAUCCCGCUCCGAUGCAAAAGCCCGCCGCCUCCCCGUCCUCCUAGCCAUCUCCUCGACACCGACCUUCGCGUACGACGGCUACACACUUCUCAUCCUCGGUAGCGGCGGCGCCACCUGCUACAUCCUUCCCCACCGUCGUGCUCCACGUUUGUCCAUUCGAGUACGAGCUGCUCCCCGAGGACCUCUUCGCCACCAGAUAUUGGAGCGCCACCCACGGCUCCACACCCGCGUCCUCCUCCAAUCGACUCCGUCUCGAAGAUGGCUGGUCUGAUGUGAUGUUGAUGUGGAGGUACUACGCUCUGCUAUUUCCUUUCCUUCCAAUACAAAGUUCAAUUUUUCUAUCACCUAAGUUUCAAAUCAGCAUCCAACUAACUGUCUAUAAACCACUCAUGUAGCCCAAUAUAAAUCAGUGUGCAGGCAUAUGGGACUCACGCUGCUCAAACUACAGCCACUCACUAACUACACCCUCAAGAAGCCACACGAUCUUUAGAUAGAACGGACAAUGGAGUGCGAGGAGGUGUGAUUCACUGCCAUUCGCCAUCUAAUAUGCUUCGUCAAGGACAAGGUAUGGGUGUGGACGAAGAGUAAAAUCUUCUAUACGUCUCAUCUAUCUUGCUUCAUCUUUGUUAGAGGAUCCUUGUGCUAUAUGUUCUGGUGGUAACAAAUGGACAGUUGGAGUAUCUAUAAUCUUCUUGCGGAAUGAAAAACUUUGAGUAUUGGAAAUGUUGGUGUAUACCUCCCUGAACCGGUAUUUUCACACAUGCUAUGUUGCUCUUCUACAGCUACAUCUAGAAGUGCUAUAAAGAUUCUUACACUCUCGGAUAAGCAAAAGGAAGGUCAAUCCAACUCCAUUGCAAUUUUACAAAGAAAUGGUCCACAAAGAAGUCUCAGUGUGUAGUCCAAGGUCUGAAUCAAGUACAAUUUGGUGGCUGUAAAAAAUCAUUCUAUCUAAUAGGUCAUUCAUCUAAAAUUGUUUCCCAUGUACGGUUCUAAAGUUUGUGCAGAGGACUUUCAGAAAAAAUAACUUUAGAUACUUGCUUUACUGUUCAUGAUAUUUUUGUAAUCGUACAUGUGUUUGAAUAGUUUUUUUGGUAGUUCUCUUUAUUACUCUCUCUGUUCAAAAAAAUUUGGAUGACGCCUAUUGCAGGUGUCUUUGCCAUCCGCGCCCCUCCUUUGGUUGGUAGCUCCACAUCUAAUUUAUCAGGUCACACCCAAAAUUUGUUUUUCCUUGAUGUCUGUUAGCUGCAGUUUUUUUGCAGAAACUUGCUUGAUGUAAGAAAGUUGAAAGAGGCCUGGUGCAGUUUUUUUUGUGUGUGUAUACAUGCACACUCGCCCCAUCUAUAUACAGAUGAUUUGAAUGCAUCUCUUACUGUACAUUUUGUUUCGUUGCUUGGUACAAAAUGUAUUGCAAGUGAUAUUCAUUGUUUUCGCUUUGUUUAUAUAUACUGCAAGCUCAGUUUUUUUUCCUUUAGAUGAAUGUAACACAGGCAGUUAUGUAAGCAAUAGUGAUUGUUUGAUUUCCUUCUAGGUGAGCAUAUGGAUGGAGUGAAACCCCCGGAAAUAAUAUAGUUGGUACAUGUAUUUUGAGUAAACAAUUAAACGAAGGGUAUACUAUGCUCGUCAAAUGAUCCCAUGGCGUGAUCUAAGGUAUGUAAGUAAGUGGAACUAGCUGUGUGAUUUAUGUCUGGAUUAUUUCUUCUCUUCAUGGUGCACUGUAUACAAAUCCAUUUUCUUGUGCAUAUUUACCAAAGCAUUCAGUUAAACACUUCUACUUCAUUCUUGUUUUCCUGGAACCAUUUAUAAGUAUGUUCUCAAGCUAUAGUGUGUAUGCUAUUUUGAUAUAUAAAUUGCUGCAAUUUAUCUUCACUUAAGUCUGUUGUGCCUAAUAUACUUGCACGAAAUGAGCAAUGUUGACUUCCUGGAUGAACAGUAACUGAUUAACUUAUUUCUUUCUACAGCCUUUCCAAGGAAAUAAGCAAUUCUCUGUUGAAGUAGUUCUAAGGCUGGACAUGAUAUAUGUAUUUAUUUUCACCCGCAAAAAAAAUUAAUUAUAUGUAUUAUAGACCGCAGGCUGUGCUGGAAAUUUGGGAAAUAUGAUGUGGGCGCGUUCGUCGCAUCUUUCAAAAUUUAGUGUUAUCGGUUGUGAAGCUCGCACGCCUCACAAUUAACGAAGCCAAUGUUGGAAGGACGCUGACACAUGGCACAUCGUUUUACAUAUUAGUCUAGCUUGGUGAGCCCCAGUCAUUUUGUUUGUACUUGUAUAUAUUCUCUUCUGCGUGCAAAUUGCAAUAUGUUUGUUAGACUAUAUUGUCCAGAGCAACUUACGGGUUCCUAAACAUAAAUACACCCAAUCUUGUGUGAUCCCGUACCGUAGCACGGGCAUCUUACUAGUAAUAAUAAUAGUGCAUGUACAUUGAACUAAGCUGGAAUCUGCAAACAUUCAAUUCAAGGGAGAAGACAAG